This 434-nucleotide ribosomal RNA is filed under the name uncultured Oscillospiraceae bacterium. RNAcentral's name for it is "partial 16S ribosomal RNA". It matches the Rfam family "Bacterial small subunit ribosomal RNA", at positions 341 to 792 of the family's 1533-position model. Lineage: Bacteria; Bacillati; Bacillota; Clostridia; Eubacteriales; Oscillospiraceae. The record is from RNAcentral.
ACGGAAGGCAGCAGUGGGGAAUAUUGGGCAAUGGGGGAAACCCUGACCCAGCAACGCCGCGUGAAGGAAGAAGGCCUUCGGGUUGUAAACUUCUUUUACCAGGGGCGAUAAUGACGGUACCUGGAGAAAAAGCAACGGCUAACUACGUGCCAGCAGCCGCGGUAAUACGUAGGUUGCAAGCGUUGUCCGGAUUUACUGGGUGUAAAGGGCGUGUAGGCGGAGCUGCAAGUCAGAUGUGAAAUCCCGGGGCUCAACCCCGGAACUGCAUUUGAAACUGUAGCCCUUGAGUAUCGGAGAGGCAAGCGGAAUUCCUAGUGUAGCGGUGAAGUGCGUAGAUAUUAGGAGGAACACCAGUGGCGAAGGCGGCUUGCUGGACGACAACUGACGCUGAGGCGCGAAAGCGUGGGGAGCAAACAGGAUUAGAUACCCUGGUA